This 1873-nucleotide long non-coding RNA is filed under the name Olea europaea subsp. europaea. Lineage: Eukaryota; Viridiplantae; Streptophyta; Magnoliopsida; Lamiales; Oleaceae. The record is from RNAcentral.
GGAAACUAAAUUUUUUCGACUGAAAAUGUACUAUGCUAUAGCAUGCACUAACAUAGUACAAAUAUAGUUUAAUGAAAUUCGGCCUUGGCAUUCGCUAAAUCAUAUAAUGCGAUCGAGUAAAAAGUUUCAUUAGUCACUGAACUUCACCUAUUGUCACGAUGUGGUCACCGAACUUCCUUAUGCUGCUGAGUGGUCACUGAACUUACACAAAUCUGCCUCCAUCCCUCACUCUCCAAACUUCCAUUUCAAUCCUUGCUGAUAUGAUAUCACGGUAGCUGACUCGACGACAAACAACGUUUAAUUCCUCAGUCUCUAUACGCAAUUGAAAUUGAGCCCCAAAUCACAGAAAUCAGAGAACCCUAAAUCGUGAAUGCCAUAAAUCGAUCUUUGACCAUUGAACACCAUCUCCAAAUUCAGGUGAAUCCCAACCCCGCAAACCCACUAUCAUGGCCAACCACGAUCGAAAUACGAAUCCCCAAGCCCAACAAAUUUCAAACUUUUUACUCCUGUCUCCGACCCUUGGCGAUUGGUUGCUGAACGACAGAAAUUGGUUGCUGAAUCAUAGAAAUCAAGUUGUGCUCAUCACAACUUCAUCUGCAAAGUUUGAAUUUCCUGAAGCUCAACAAAUUUUGCGAAUGAUGAAGGUAUUUCCAAGGUUGUAGGGACGUGAAAUGUGCUCUUUACCGUAUUUUUGUUGGAAUAAGGUGGAGGAAAUGCUUCUAAAUUUAUGGACUAGUUUACAUUCACAUGCCUGUCUAUCUUUUAUUCAUUUUGCUAUGUGGAAAUUCUAUAAUCAAGAGUUCUGGGCUAAUACUGUUUCCGGUGGAAAGCUAUCAAUUUGUGCAUACCCUAGGUCAGUAAUGGACCGUUUAUGGUGUAUUCUUGUAGUGUUUUGUUUUCUUUCUAUGGUUGUUCAUAGGAGCAUUUUCUGAUGAUCCCUAUUGUAUGGGGGUGUUAAGGAUGAUAGCUGGCUGGUUACAAGACAAAAUUCUAAAGGUUGAAUCUGAAUGUUACCGAGGGUAAACUGAUCUAUCUUUCUUUCUAUCUAUCUUGCUAUCUAUAUGUAUACAUUAUCCCUACCCUAGCUUCAUAAAGUGGCCAUACACUGCCUAUCUCGAAAUGAAUAUCUUGUUGGAUUGUAUCUAUUGUUUCACGAAGAUUAUUUCAUGAAGAUAAUGUAAUUAGGAAUUCUUUCUUGCAAUUCUUUCAUAAAGAUUAUUUUCUUAUACCUAUUUUGCAGAAACAAUUUGUAUUAUCCUUUAUUAUCUUACAUGUAUUCCUACUUCAAUUAUUACAGUGUUAUGGCAGGGAAGAACAAAGGCAUAUGCCACAAUUGUAGGAAGCUCGGGCACUACUUGUCAGACUGCCCAACAAAGAAACGAUGUCCAAACUGUGGCCAGGGAUUCGAGAAAUGUAUGGAGGUGGAGAAAAAUACUUCGAACAAAGGGAGAUUGUUCUUAUGCCGUAUUAGAGAUUGUGGUCACUUCGAGUGGAAGAAUGAAGAGCACUGCAAUGUGGAAUCGAGAUAGUUUGUUCGGGUAAUUGCCAAGCUAAAUAUCCGUGGGAAGAUCUGUUGUGUAUGUUCAACAAAUGUGCUCAAAUCACAACAGAAAAGAACAUCAAGAUAUCUAUCAACAUUGCCAUGCGCAAAGGAAGGACAGUUGUGGAUGAUAAUGGAAAAAGAAAUGGGCUUACAGAGGAUAAUGGAAAAGGAAAAGGGGUUACCGAGAACAUUGGGAAAGGGAAGGGGAAAGUUCAAUGGCUUGAUUGUAUUUGUCCCAUCUAGUAAAUUAUGUAGGUUGUAAGACUUGGAUGUAAGUCGUUGACGUAGGACUAUUAUGUAAUCAUUUUUUAUCAAAUUAUGAAAUUCUUC